RNAcentral lists this transfer RNA (82 nucleotides) under Polyangiaceae bacterium. RNAcentral's name for it is "tRNA-Leu". It matches the Rfam family "tRNA". Rfam says of the family: Transfer RNA (tRNA) molecules are approximately 80 nucleotides in length. Their secondary structure includes four short double-helical elements and three loops (D, anti-codon, and T loops). Lineage: Bacteria; Pseudomonadati; Myxococcota; Polyangiales; Polyangiaceae. The record is from RNAcentral.
GCGCAAGUGGCGGAAUUGGCAGACGCGCCGGGUUUAGGUUCCGGUGUCGAGAGACGUGGGGGUUCAAGUCCCUCCUUGCGCA